GACGAGCGCUGGCGGCGUGCUUAACACAUGCAAGUCGAACGGUGAAGCUCCAGCUUGCUGGAGUGGAUCAGUGGCGAACGGGUGAGUAACACGUGAGCAACCUGCCCCUGACUCUGGAAUAAGCGCUGGAAACGGCGUCUAAUACUGGAUACGAGAAGGGUCCGCAUGGGCACUUUCUGGAAAGUUUUUCGGCUGGGGAUGGGCUCGCGGCCUAUCAGCUUGUUGGUGAGGUAAUGGCUCACCAAGGCGACGACGGGUAGCCGGCCUGAGAGGGCGACCGGCCACACUGGGACUGAGACACGGCCCAGACUCCUACGGGAGGCAGCAGUGGGGAAUAUUGCACAAUGGGCGAAAGCCUGAUGCAGCGACGCCGCGUGAGGGGUGACGGCCUUCGGGUUGUAAACCUCUUUCAGCAGGGAAGAAGCGAAAGUGACGGUACCUGCAGAAGAAGCACCGGCUAACUACGUG
This 468-nucleotide ribosomal RNA is filed under the name uncultured bacterium. RNAcentral describes it as "partial 16S ribosomal RNA". It matches the Rfam family "Bacterial small subunit ribosomal RNA", at positions 28 to 507 of the family's 1533-position model. The record is from RNAcentral.